Molecule: ribosomal RNA, 523 nt
Filed under: uncultured bacterium
Lineage: Bacteria
Description: bacterial SSU rRNA
Rfam family: Bacterial small subunit ribosomal RNA
Source: RNAcentral
CCUACGGGAGGCAGCAGUAAGGAAUAUUGGACAAUGGACGCAAGUCUGAUCCAGCCAUGCCGCGUGAAGGAUUAAGGCCCUCUGGGUUGUAAACUUCUUUUAUAGGGGACGAAAAAAGGGCUUUCUAGCUCGACUGACGGUACCCUAUGAAUAAGCACCGGCUAACUCCGUGCCAGCAGCCGCGGUAAUACGGAGGGUGCAAGCGUUAUCCGGAUUCACUGGGUUUAAAGGGUGCGUAGGCGGGCAUUUAAGUCAGUGGUGAAAUCUUCGAGCUCAACUCGGAAACUGCCAUUGAUACUAUUUGUCUUGAAUAUUGUGGAGGUGAGCGGAAUAUGUCAUGUAGCGGUGAAAUGCUUAGAUAUGACAUAGAACACCGAUUGCGAAGGCAGCUCGCUACACAAAUAUUGACGCUGAGGCACGAAAGCGUGGGGAUCAAACAGGAUUAGAUACCCUGGUAGUCCACGACCUAACUAUAGAUACUACGACAUUGUCGAUACACAGUAAGUAGUCGUGAGACGAAGAC